This 962-nucleotide ribosomal RNA is filed under the name uncultured bacterium. RNAcentral describes it as "bacterial SSU rRNA". It matches the Rfam family "Bacterial small subunit ribosomal RNA", at positions 9 to 1004 of the family's 1533-position model. The record is from RNAcentral.
GAGUUUGAUCCUGGCUCAGAAUCAACGCUGGCGGCGCGCUUAACACACGCAAGUCGCACGAGAAAGUGGAGCAAUCCAUGAGUAAAGUGGCGUACGGGUGAGUAACACGUGGAUCAUCUACCUCUUGGUGGGGAAUAACCCUGGGAAACCGGGGCUAAUACCGCAUAAGCCUGCAAAGGGAAAGCAGCAAUGCGCCGAGAGAGGAGUCCGCGGCCGAUUAGCUAGUUGGUAGGGUAAUGGCCUACCAAGGCAAUGAUCGGUAGCCGGCCUGAGAGGGCACACGGCCACACUGGCACUGAAACACGGGCCAGACUCCUACGGGAGGCAGCAGUGGGGAAUCUUGCACAAUGGAGGAAACUCUGAUGCAGCGACGCCGCGUGAGCGAUGAAGCCCUUCGGGGUGUAAAGCUCUUUCGACGGGAACGAUAAUGACGGUACCCGGAGAAGAAGCUGCGGCUAACUACGUGCCAGCAGCCGCGGUAAUACGUAGGCAGCAAGCGUUGUUCGGAAUUACUGGGCGUAAAGAGUGUGUAGGCGGUUUUCUAAGUUCGGUGUGAAAUCUCCCGGCUUAACUGGGAGGGUGCGCCGGAAACUGGAGGGCUUGAGUAUGGGAGAGGAAAGCGGAAUUCCUGGUGUAGCGGUGAAAUGCGUAGAUAUCAGGAGGAACACCUGCGGUGUAGACGGCUUUCUGGACCAUCACUGACGCUGAGACACGAAAGCGUGGGUAGCAAACAGGAUUAGAUACCCUGGUAGUCCACGCCCUAAACGAUGCAUACUUGGUGUGAGCCGUUCAUUCGGUUCGUGCCGGAGCUAACGCGUUAAGUAUGCCGCCUGGGGAGUACGGUCGCAAGGCUGAACUCAAGGAAUUGACGGGGGCCCGCACAAGCGGUGGAGCAUGUGGUUUAAUUCGACGCAACGCGAAGAACCUUACCUGGGCUCGAACGGCUUCGGACAAUCCUUUGA